AUUGAACGCUGGCGGCAUGCCUUACACAUGCAAGUCGAACGGUAACAGGUCUUCGGAUGCUGACGAGUGGCGAACGGGUGAGUAAUACAUCGGAACGUGCCCAGACGUGGGGGAUAACGAGGCGAAAGCUUUGCUAAUACCGCAUACGAUCUAAGGAUGAAAGCAGGGGACCGCAAGGCCUUGCGCGUUUGGAGCGGCCGAUGGCAGAUUAGGCAGUUGGUGGGAUAAAAGCUUACCAAGCCGACGAUCUGUAGCUGGUCUGAGAGGACGACCAGCCACACUGGGACUGAGACACGGCCCAGACUCCUACGGGAGGCAGCAGUGGGGAAUUUUGGACAAUGGGCGAAAGCCUGAUCCAGCAAUGCCGCGUGCAGGAUGAAGGCCUUCGGGUUGUAAACUGCUUUUGUACGGAACGAAAAGGCUCUGGCUAAUACCUGGGGCACAUGACGGUACCGUAAGAAUAAGCACCGGCUAACUACGUG
Molecule: ribosomal RNA, 482 nt
Filed under: uncultured bacterium
Lineage: Bacteria
Description: partial 16S ribosomal RNA
Rfam family: Bacterial small subunit ribosomal RNA
Source: RNAcentral